RNAcentral lists this microRNA (19 nucleotides) under Homo sapiens (human). Its description in RNAcentral is "hsa-miR-1250-3p". Lineage: Eukaryota; Metazoa; Chordata; Mammalia; Primates; Hominidae. The record is from miRBase by way of RNAcentral.
ACAUUUUCCAGCCCAUUCA